Molecule: ribosomal RNA, 292 nt
Filed under: uncultured eukaryote
Lineage: Eukaryota
Description: partial 18S ribosomal RNA
Rfam family: Eukaryotic small subunit ribosomal RNA
Source: RNAcentral
GGUUGAUCCUGCCAGUAGUCAUAUGCUUGUCUCAAAGAUUAAGCCAUGCAUGUCUAAGUAUAAACUUUUAUACGGUUAAACUGCGAAUGGCUCAUUAUAACAGUUAUAGUUUACUUGAUAAUCUUUACUUACAUGGAUAACCGUGGUAAUUCUAGAGCUAAUACAUGCGAAAAAACUCGACUUUAUGGAAGGGUUGUAUUUAUUAGAUAAAGAACCAAUAUAAUUGGUGACUCAUAAUAACUUUACGGAUCACAUUAAAUGUGACAUAUCAUUCAAGUUUCUGACCUAUCAG